Molecule: ribosomal RNA, 436 nt
Filed under: uncultured bacterium
Lineage: Bacteria
Description: partial 16S ribosomal RNA
Rfam family: Bacterial small subunit ribosomal RNA
Source: RNAcentral
GACGAACGCUGGCGGCAUGCCUAACACAUGCAAGUCGAACGAAAAGCUUCGGGGUUUGGUGGCUCACCGGUUCGUAACGCGUGGGAAUCUGCCCUUGGGUUCGGAACAUCAGUUAGAAAUGACUGCUAAUACCGGAGGAUGACGUUAAGUCCAAGGUUUUAUGGCCUGAGGAUGAGCCCGGAUAGGAUUAGCUAGUGGGUGUGGUAAAGGCGCACCAAGGAGAGGAUCCUUAGCUGGGAUGAGAGGAUGAUCAGCCACACUUGGGCUGAGACACAGCCCAGACUCCUACGCAAGGGGGCAGAGGGGGAUAUAGGGCGAGGGGGGCAGGUCUGAACCAGCAAUGCCGGGUAAGUGGUGAUUGCGUUAGGGAUGUAAUGCCCUUUUACCCGGGAUGAUAAUGACGGUACCGGGAGAAUAAGCCCCGGCUAACUCCGUG